Molecule: unclassified non-coding RNA, 206 nt
Filed under: Hevea brasiliensis (rubber tree)
Lineage: Eukaryota; Viridiplantae; Streptophyta; Magnoliopsida; Malpighiales; Euphorbiaceae
Source: RNAcentral
GCUCAAUUAAUGGAAUUAAAGUGUAUAACUUACUUCUACCAACUUAAUUAUACUUAAUUCCACCACCAAUUGCAUCAAACUCAAGCAAAUCCUAUUUCCCCUAAGGUUGACCGAAAUUCCCCAAUUGGUCUAACAUGUGUAAUUUGUUUAAAAUUUUCACAAUUUCUAUGUUAAUCCAACUACAUAAACAUGAAUUUAACUAAAAA